GGGGUGCUGAGGCUUUGGUGAGAUGAGGUGAAGGUAAGUCUCUGGUUAAUUCCUGGUAUAUGGAAUGAGCUGCCAGACAAGUGAUUGAGGCAGGUACAUCAUCAACAUUUAAAAGCCUUGUGGAGAAGAGGAAAGAACUAUCCACCUGUG
This is a long non-coding RNA of Pristis pectinata (smalltooth sawfish), 150 nucleotides long. RefSeq lists it as uncharacterized. The transcript is spliced from 3 exons. Lineage: Eukaryota; Metazoa; Chordata; Chondrichthyes; Rhinopristiformes; Pristidae. The record is from RefSeq and is a predicted model, not a curated record.